UACGAAGGGGGCUAGCGUUGCUCGGAAUCACUGGGCGUAAAAGGUGCGUAGGCGGGUCUUUAAGUCAGGGGUGAAAUCCUUGAGCUCAACUCCAGAACUGCCUUUGAUACUGAGGAUCUUGAGUUCGGGAGAGGUGAGUGGAACUGCGAGUGUAGAGGUGAAAUUCGUAGAUAUUCGCAAGAACACCAGUGGCGAAGGCGGCUCACUGGCCCGAUACUGACGCUGAGGCACGAAAGCGUGGGGAGCAAACAGG
Molecule: ribosomal RNA, 253 nt
Filed under: uncultured bacterium
Lineage: Bacteria
Description: partial 16S ribosomal RNA
Rfam family: Bacterial small subunit ribosomal RNA
Source: RNAcentral